RNAcentral lists this ribosomal RNA (219 nucleotides) under Acinetobacter sp. ANC 5378. RNAcentral describes it as "partial 16S ribosomal RNA". It matches the Rfam family "Bacterial small subunit ribosomal RNA", at positions 1 to 220 of the family's 1533-position model. The record is from RNAcentral. Lineage: Bacteria; Pseudomonadati; Pseudomonadota; Gammaproteobacteria; Moraxellales; Moraxellaceae.
UUAAACUGAAGAGUUUGAUCAUGGCUCAGAUUGAACGCUGGCGGCAGGCUUAACACAUGCAAGUCGAGCGGGGAAAGGUAGCUUGCUACCUAACUUAGCGGCGGACGGGUGAGUAAUGCUUAGGAAUCUGCCUAUUAGUGGGGGACAACAUUUCGAAAGGAAUGCUAAUACCGCAUACGCCCUACGGGGGAAAGCAGGGGAUCUUCGGACCUUGCGCUA